AAAAAUACAACACUUGAAAUCUAAAAUGAAGCAAAUAUGGAAAUUCUGGAUUGACCUUGCUAAAACCAGACCAAAAAAUUAAUGUAGUAUUAAAUAAUAACAAAGAACACCUAGGUACAUAUGAAUGUAUAUACUCAAUUUUUAUGUGGAAUCACUGCCCCAGGAAAUUGAAUCGCAUAACCACGACUAUCCACCAUCAUUUCACUUGAUUCAGAUCAAAUGCAUCUUCAGGUUUUAACGAUGUCAUGGGACAGCAGUGCUGAACACCGCAUCUACGGCUGCCUGCAGCAAAAUCAGUAAAAUUUAACAUGAACCCAAUGUAUAUCACAACACAAUAGACAACUAUGAAUUUACAACACAUGUAACAAAGCCCCCUCAUCCCGUUCAAGAUUUUAAAGGAAGGUCAAAAGCACUUCAUGUUGUUCAAAGAGCCCUUUUGACUUGAAUUUAUUUGGGAUAGGCCAUUAUCAAUAUUAUUUGACAGUAAAGCAGCAGUAAUAUCUUAUGAGGCAUUUGCAUUGCAUGAUAAAAACAGCACUUGCAGAACUUUUACAAAUCUAUCUCAGGUUCAAUAAGAGGCUCAUCCCCCUGAUUAUUGACAAUAAUAUCAUACUUCUACAGAAUUUGUAAUGCUUCAUUGCAUCAUUCGAUAAAUAUAUAUAUAUGCAAUUAACUAUUUGCCAUUUCAGCAAAUUUCUGAAGUCAUUAUCACAUCGCCACCAAAUCCUUAGCAGCAUUCUGCAAUCUUCUGAUCAUCUGUUGUCGCAACUACACCACAAAGAAGCAACGAAUGACACACUGCAGACAUGAACCACAAACAACAGAAUAACCAGACAUGAAAAUCAAAAUCUGUUGACAGCAGAAACUUGGAAACAAUGACCAAGGAAUUUUCGGAUAAAAAGAUAUCAGGAUAUCCCAUCUUGUAAACUCUCAACAUAUUCAAGCCCAUAUCCAAAUGAAAUUUUGAGCAAAGCGAUUUAACAAAGUUGAGUAACUUCGCCGUUAAUAUAAGCACGUGAAGAAGAGAGAACGAAAUAUUUAUCAUCAAAAUCAAAAUCAACUUUUAUGGGGAUCACUAUAUUCGAGCCAAAGGCAUUUGAGUUCUAGACCAUAAAUGAAUAAAAAACACUCGCUUUAGGAGUAUUCUCCCACCAAGGCUGGAAGUUGAUAACCAGAUUGAAAGACAAUCUAUGAGGAUAUCAAGGUGGUUCAGACAAAAUUACAAGAAGCAAACGGUUUUGGAAUUGCCAUAACAGAGUAACACAAAGCUCUUGUAAGUGACGUACCACGUGAUCCAAUAUAGUUGCCAGUUUGGACCUCUCCGAUGUUCUGUGCAAGAUACCCACUAGAAUGGUGAGUCAAAUUAUAAAAGACACAUUACAUUCUGAGACAGCACAAUCAAAAACAAUGUAAGAAAGAAAAAAGAGGUUGGGGGAAAAAAAAAAAUUGAUAUUUACCCACCAAACCAAGGCUUGUCAAUUAUAUAAAGCAAGAGCUGUGAAGAAAUCUGAAACCAUUAUGUGAAUGGCUACUCUUACGCCAAUCUGACUUCUUAAUCCUAAUCUCAUCCAUUCACUCUUCCACACGGGUAUUCAAGGUUGGUUUGGUUUCAAUUGAUUUGCUGUUGAGUCAAAAGAUGAUCAACUUCUGAAAGUUGAAACCACAACCAAACCAGCAAACGUUAACAUUAUAACGAAACAAAACGAAAUAUUUUCAAUUUAAUAUCAUUUCGAGCUCAACAUGCGCUAAAACUACUACCCACUUUUAACAAAAUUGUUGCUCCACUUCUUCAUAAUCAGCCACAAACUAAUUGACAACACCAUAAUUUGAAGAACAAACAAAAAUGCUUGUAAUUAACAAUUUAAAAAAAUAAAAAUAAAGUAAAAAAGGCAAAUGUGUACCUAUAUCAUCGGUUUGCUGGGUUGCUUUGGGUUACUUUGGCUUCCCAAAGAAUCAAUUUCUACCUUUAAUUCUCAAAAAAUCAACUUUGCAAAUAAUUUAGUGCGGUGUUUGGUAAAUGAAGAUAUUUGACAAUUACUUAUCAAAUAAUCUAUUAUACACGUUUGGUAAGUGAAAAUGUGCAUAUGCA
Molecule: long non-coding RNA, 2089 nt
Filed under: Citrus maxima (pomelo)
Lineage: Eukaryota; Viridiplantae; Streptophyta; Magnoliopsida; Sapindales; Rutaceae
Description: long non-coding RNA (CMAX_LNC000787)
Source: RNAcentral